Molecule: ribosomal RNA, 435 nt
Filed under: uncultured bacterium
Lineage: Bacteria
Description: bacterial SSU rRNA
Rfam family: Bacterial small subunit ribosomal RNA
Source: RNAcentral
AACGAACGCUGGCGGCAUGCCUAACACAUGCAAGUCGAACGAACCCUUCGGGGUUAGUGGCGCACGGGUGCGUAACGCGUGGGGAUCUGCCCAAAGGUUCGGAAUAACUCAGAGAAAUUUGAGCUAAUACCGGAUAAUGUCUUCGGACCAAAGAUUUAUUGCCUUUGGAUGAACCCGCGUAGGAUUAGCUUGUUGGUGGGGUAAAGGCCUACCAAGGCGACGAUCCUUAGCUGGUCUGAGAGGAUGAUCAGCCACACUGGGACUGAGACACGGCCCAGACUCCUACGGGAGGCAGCAGUGGGGGAAUAUUGGACAAUGGGCGAAAGCCUGAUCCAGCAAUGCCGCGUGAGUGAUGAAGGCCUUAGGGUUGUAAAGCUCUUUUACCUAGGGAUGAUAAUGACAGUACCUGGAGAAUAAGCUCCGGCUAACUCCGUG